This 497-nucleotide ribosomal RNA is filed under the name uncultured bacterium. RNAcentral describes it as "partial 16S ribosomal RNA". It matches the Rfam family "Bacterial small subunit ribosomal RNA", at positions 28 to 507 of the family's 1533-position model. The record is from RNAcentral.
GAUGAACGCUGGCGGCGUGCCUAACACAUGCAAGUCGAACGGCCGGACGAGAAGCUUUUUCUUUUGCUGUUAGCGGCUGGCGGGCGAGUAACGCGUGCAUCACCCUCUUCUUUUUCUUGGAUCAUUUCGUAAAACCGUAUCUAAUACUACAUCAUAUUUUGUACCGCAUGGUUCAUAGGAUCAUCUCGGCCUUGCUGUCUCUAUUAGCUGCUUCCGCGCUGGAUUAGCUAGUUGGUAAGGUAACGGCUUACCAAGGCUACGAUGCGUAGCCGACCUGAGAGGAUGAUAGGACACACUGGAACGGAGACACGGUCAAGACGACUACGGGAGGCAGCAGUAGGGAAUAUUGCGCAAUGGGCGAAAGCCUGACGGAGCAAAGCCGCGUGAGUGAAGAAGGUCUUCGGAUCGUAAAACCCUGUUAUUAGGGAAGAACAGAUGUGGAAGUAAAAGUGCACGUCUUGACGGUAACUAAUGAAAAAGCAACGGCUAACUACGUG